Molecule: long non-coding RNA, 3068 nt
Organism: Vespula pensylvanica (western yellowjacket)
Lineage: Eukaryota; Metazoa; Arthropoda; Insecta; Hymenoptera; Vespidae
Exons: 3
Source: RefSeq, a predicted model, not a curated record
AAUAAAAUAAAAUAAAAUACUUACGAUAAGGUGCGUAUUUCGUUUAUGCAAAUCUAUACCGGAAACGUUUUUAUUUUUUAUCGUUAUGACGCUGUUAGUCUCGAGCGUGUGUUUUGAGCAUGUUCAUGUUAUCAGAGAAAAGUCAUGUUAUCAUAGAAAAAGAGAGAGAGAAAGAGAGAGAGAAAAGAGAGAAUAUAGGACUUGAUAGGAGGCGUCGACAAUAAUCCUUCUCUGUCUAUGGUGGUUUUACCUAUCUCUAGUCGAGUUAAUAGGAGGCCGUCUGCUUUUGCGUCACUACGGCUUAGUUCUGCUUAGGAAGCAUCCUCCUCAUCCUCCACCUCACCUUCUCAUCCUACUUGCUAUUGCUACCUGGAUUAAGGAAGAUCUCAGUAAUGCGAUACAUUCGCCUGAUAGUUUCACCGUGAAACCGACCGUAUUUGCAUCUCUCUCAUUUUUUGUUUCCUACAUUUCUUUCUUUCUUUCUUCUUUCUUUCUUUCUUCUUUCUUUCUUUCUUCUUAUCUUCUCGUUAGAAAAUUUCGGCUUUCUCGUUGAGAUUAUUUUCUUCAGGAUGCGAACAAUUUGUUCAUCCGAUUAGUUGGGUCGAUCGAUUUCAUUUCAUCUCUAUUUAUAUUAUACAUAUUUCCUAGAUAUUUGUGUAUUUUGUUAUUUUAGGAAUUUAUAUUUUAUUAUUAUAGGUAUCGUGUGUUUUUUUAAUAAGAUUUAUUAAUAAGAUUUAUACGUAGUAUCGAUAAGUUUCUUUGAAAUUUACUCUGUUCGUCAGAAUAUGUUCGUAGAAUAGUUUGGAGCAUUCCGUGUAAAGUUCGUUGGGUUUUAAAUGAAAUAAAAGAAAAUAAUUAGAGGAAAAUCGAAAAGAAAAAAAAAUGUUCUUAAAACAUUAAAUCAUUUGAUCCAUUUGGUUAUUUUGCCUUCGUUGAAUUCUAAGUUUAUUAGAUAGAGGCAAUGAAAACUCAUCAUUUGUGAUAACGGCUUUAUUAAGCUUCCUCGUAUACCUACACGGGGGAAGUUCGUUCCGCCAUUAUUUCUGAGAGUUAACCGUACACCUUUUCAUCGAAACUGAACUUCUAAUAUCGUGUUUACUUACGGUAGACUUAUAAACCUGAAAAAAACUUCAUAAAAACUUAAAGCAACCCAAGAACCAAACUUCAGCGAUCUUUUAAUAAAUUCGAAACUUUCCUAUUGCAUUUCCUUCGAACGUUUUUAUCGUGCGAAGAAAAUUUUUUCGUUUUACAUAUGUAACUUCAUGCAAUUUUUAAAACGACGAAGUCGUUUUAUUUAAGAUUUGAACGAAGUAGUUAUAUGUGUUCGAUCGUUCUCGAUUAAAAUAGAACACCUUUGAAAAAUCCGAUCAAUCAAGUAUUCACAACGUCGAAAAAUAUUUAUCGAAUCGGAAUUAACGACGAAUAUUUUUUUUCUGAUUUAAUCUUGCUAACUGCUAAUUCGCAUCAAUUUUUAAUAUAAUGACAAAGGAACGAGGAUGAGCGCACUCGCGGCAGCUUUCAGAACCUACGGAUAAGCGGAUCUAUAAGGGGAGCGGAAGAGGGCGAUCGAGUGGAAAACCAAUAAUCGUUCUGUAUACUAUCUAUAAACGUUUACAUACGCUCAUAUAUGUCUACGUAUGCACGUGCACUUACGUACUCAUGUAAUAUGGACAAUAUGGUAAUUUGUAAAAACAUUUCGAUGUGACAUCGAUAUGGAUAUACGUAUCACAUUUUUGUAAUAUUUAUAUCAGGGUGAUCAGUAUUAUAUUUUCUAUUGUAACAUUCUGUUGAAUUGUUAACAAUGCGUUCCUGUGAUAUUUUCGCUGAAAAAAAUUGGUAUCUAUCGAAUUGUGGUACAAUUUCCAAUUCGACGAAAUUUCCGAAUAUAUUGAUUUGACCGAAACGAGAGUUUCCGAUACAGUUCAUCAUUGUUUAUGAUAGGACGAUAGUGUUAUGGGAUAUAAUGUUAUAGCAGCUGUUAAUAUCAAAACAUCUAUCUAGCAUCUUACGUAUCAGGUAUACACAUAGUUUGUAUUUAUCUUUGACUCACGGCCUUGACAAGCUCAAUAGCUUAUCAGUCAUCUUAGUGGUUAGACGUAAUUCUCAAAUACAUGUCUAUGUUUAUCGAUCGUACAACUUAUGGAACACGAUUACGGAUUUAUUUUUCUCAUUAGCCGUUUAAAUAACUUUGUUCAAUGUUGAAGAAGAUUCAUAUACCUAUCGCUCGAAUGCCAGACGUGCUACCGAAGAAUUACUUCAAUAUUAAGAGAAGACAUUGCGUCGUAAAUUUUACGAUUUAUAAUCCUCGGAACUUUAUCGAGAAAUUGCAUUCCGUGAAUGGCGCUGUUGAUCGAAAAAGAACAAAAAGAAAAACGGACUGUCUGUCAUUAUUAUAAAUUACUAAAAUGAGAUCGAGAAAGUUGGAGACACGAAAUAAAAACCUAUAGUUUAUGCAUAUGUAAGUUAAAUCCUUGGGACAGCAUAAUUUCGUAAUAACCAUCUCACAACGGCUUCUAACUCGAAUGCGAUGCACUUAAGGUCGAUCAACGGAAAUCGGAAAUCGAUCUGCGUUCGUUGGUGAGUUAACGAUAUAUUUAAAUUAUUGCUUGGAGUUUAAGCGAAGCAACUGCUAUCAGUCGAGUUACCAGGCUAAUGCAAUUUACAAGUGCGUAAUGGUUACGCCACCGAACUGCUGUAACAAACUACAUCAUCAAUUACGACGUCGACCCUUAACUAUAGACUUUGCGAGUCUCGAAUUCCCCGACGACGACGACAACGUCUAAGAUGUAACCAUCGCGGAAAUGUUUUAUUAUUAAACCGUUCCUUCUUGCUAUCGCAAAUCUUAUUAUUCUGUCUCGAAUAACGUUUCAUUAAAAUCAUAUUUCUCGUUUGGUACGAAGUACACGUACAUAUGUAAAGAUUAUACAGUACUAUAUUAUUAUUACAUGUAUGUAUACGCAUAUGUAUCGUAUUAUUCCUUACAUUACUUCCCUUACCUUACUUAUACUUUUAUUCCUACAUACUACAUAAUAAAACAUGUGUUAUAUUUUAUUUAUAUCACGUAUGGA